RNAcentral lists this long non-coding RNA (638 nucleotides) under Monodelphis domestica (gray short-tailed opossum). Its description in RNAcentral is "lncRNA (ENSMODG00000037908.1)". Lineage: Eukaryota; Metazoa; Chordata; Mammalia; Didelphimorphia; Didelphidae. The record is from RNAcentral.
UAUGAUGUCUUUUAUAUAUAGCACAAUUGUUGUUGAUCAUCCUUUUCCUUAUUGUUGAGUUUGAAGCUAAGCCACUUUGACAAUGAGGGAAUGGCACUUGAACAGGUCCUUUCCUGAAAUCCUGGGAGGAUUUCAAGACGUGAUCGCUGUGGGAACAAGGAAAGAAGAGCCCAUUUCAGGAAACCACCAUGGAAGGAGUAUCCUGAUCCCCAGAGUGUGGCUGCAUCAUGAGCCCCAGAACACGAGGCAAUGGAAACCCACCGUAGCUGUUGUGUACAGAUUCCUGAAUGCUAAAUACACACUCCUGUUGGUGGGAAUCUUGUGUGUUGGGGGGUGGAGAAAGGACAGCUUCAAGAGGAUGAAUGACAAGAUCUAAAGCUCUGUAAGGGCAAAUAUCAUGACUUCCCUAUGUGAAAUGCCUUCAGAUAUUUGAAUGUAACUCUUACGAGCCCACUGUGUUUUAUCUCCUCAAGACACUUAUCAACAGGGCCACCUGGUCCAAAGAAAGCAAUCUGUUGGCAUGUACUUCCUUCUCGCUGGGUGUUUUAUGGAAGCGCCUUGUCCCAACACCUUUCAAAGGCUGCCUACUUUCCCUAUUGUCCAAUGAAGAAAACAAAGUACUUCAGUCCCUUUGGAUU